UAAGUACCACCAGCAAAUUUUUGACAUAUAAAGUAAUUAUAAUAAAUCUGUUAACGUGUACCACUAACAGGUUGUCGGAAUACCACUGGUGGUAUCCAUACUACUGAUUGGGAAUCGCAGCUGUAGAUCAUAAGUCUGUC
Gavialis gangeticus (Gharial) is the source of this 140-nucleotide long non-coding RNA. RefSeq lists it as uncharacterized. The transcript is spliced from 3 exons. Lineage: Eukaryota; Metazoa; Chordata; Crocodylia; Gavialidae. The record is from RefSeq and is a predicted model, not a curated record.